This 316-nucleotide ribosomal RNA is filed under the name uncultured prokaryote. Its description in RNAcentral is "bacterial SSU rRNA". It matches the Rfam family "Bacterial small subunit ribosomal RNA", at positions 8 to 319 of the family's 1533-position model. The record is from RNAcentral.
AGAGUUUGAUCCUGGCUCAGAUUGAACGCUGGCGGCAUGCCUAACACAUGCAAGUCGAGCGGCAGUGCGGGGCGACCCUCGCGGCGAGCGGCGGACGGGUGAGUAAGGCAUCGGAAUCUGCCCUCGAUGUGGGGGAGUAACGUAGGGAAACGUUACGCUAAUACUGCAUACGACCGAGAGGUGAAAGACGGGGGACCGGAAAGGACCUCGCGCAGCAGGAUGAGCCGAUGUCCGAUUAGCUGGUUGGUGGGGUAACGGGCCCACCCAAGGCGACGAUCGGUAGCUGGUCUGAGAGGAUGAUCAGCCACACUGGGAC